This 492-nucleotide ribosomal RNA is filed under the name uncultured bacterium. Its description in RNAcentral is "partial 16S ribosomal RNA". It matches the Rfam family "Bacterial small subunit ribosomal RNA", at positions 29 to 507 of the family's 1533-position model. The record is from RNAcentral.
AGUGAACGCUGGCGGUAGGCCUAACACAUGCAAGUCGAACGGCAGCACAGUAAUAGCUUGCUCUUACGGGUGGCGAGUGGCGGACGGGUGAGGAAUACAUCGGAAUCUACUUUUUCGUGGGGGUUAACGUAGGGAAACUUACGCUAAUACCGCAUACGACCUACGGGUGAAAGCAGGGGAUCUUUGGACCUUGGGCGAUUGAAUGAGCCGAUGUCGGAUUAGCUAGUUGGGGGGGUAAAGGCCCACCAAGGCGACGAUCCGUAGCUGGUCUGAGAGGAUGAGCAGCCACAAUGGGACGGAGACACGGUCCAGAAUCCUAAGGGAGGCCGCAGUGGGGAAUAUUGGACAAGGGGCGCAAGCCUGAUCCAGCCAUACCGCGUGGGUGAAGAAGGCCUUCGGGUUGUAAAGCCCUUUUGUUGGGAAAGAAAAGCAGCAGGUUAAUACCGCGCUGUUCUGACGGUACCCAAAGAAUAAGCACCGGCUAACUUCGUG